RNAcentral lists this ribosomal RNA (494 nucleotides) under uncultured bacterium. Its description in RNAcentral is "partial 16S ribosomal RNA". It matches the Rfam family "Bacterial small subunit ribosomal RNA", at positions 28 to 507 of the family's 1533-position model. The record is from RNAcentral.
GACGAACGCUGGCGGCGUGCUUAACACAUGCAAGUCGAACGGAAAGGCCUGCUUUCCCUUGUGGAUUGCGGGUACUCGAGUGGCGAACGGGUGAGUAACACGUGAGUGAUCUGCCCCCAACUUGGGUAUAAGCCUGGGAUACUGGGUCUAAUUCCCGAUAGGACUGCAGGGUGGUGCCUGUGGUGGGAAACGAUUUUCUAGUGGUUGGGGAUGAGCUGGGGGCGUAUCAGCUGGUUGGUGGGGUAAUGGCCUACGAAGGCGGCGACGGGUAGCCAGUCGGGGAGGGGUGACGGUGGCAUUGGGACGGGGACACGGCCCCGACGCCUAGGGGAGGCAGCAGUGGGGAAGAAUGCACAGUGGGCGGAAGCCUGAUGCAGCGAGGCUGCGUGGGGGAUGACGGCCUUCGGGUGGUAAACUCCUUGCGACCGCGAGGAAGCCACCUGGUUGGAAGGGUGGUGACGGUAGUGGUAGAAGAAGCACCGGCUAACUACGUG